RNAcentral lists this ribosomal RNA (1361 nucleotides) under uncultured bacterium. Its description in RNAcentral is "16S ribosomal RNA". It matches the Rfam family "Bacterial small subunit ribosomal RNA", at positions 29 to 1380 of the family's 1533-position model. The record is from RNAcentral.
AUGAACGCUAGCUACAGGCUUAACACAUGCAAGUCGAGGGGCAGCAUGGUCUUAGCUUUGCUAAGGCCGAUGGCGACCGGCGCACGGGUGAGUAACACGUAUCCAACCUGCCGUCUACUCUUGGACAGCCUUCUGAAAGGAAGAUUAAUACAAGAUGGCAUCAUGAGUCCGCAUGUUCACAUGAUUAAAGGUAUUCCGGUAGACGAUGGGGAUGCGUUCCAUUAGAUAGUAGGCGGGGUAACGGCCCACCUAGUCUUCGAUGGAUAGGGGUUCUGAGAGGAAGGUCCCCCACAUUGGAACUGAGACACGGUCCAAACUCCUACGGGAGGCAGCAGUGAGGAAUAUUGGUCAAUGGGCGAGAGCCUGAACCAGCCAAGUAGCGUGAAGGAUGACUGCCCUAUGGGUUGUAAACUUCUUUUAUAAAGGAAUAAAGUCGGGUAUGGAUACCCGUUUGCAUGUACUUUAUGAAUAAGGAUCGGCUAACUCCGUGCCAGCAGCCGCGGUAAUACGGAGGAUCCGAGCGUUAUCCGGAUUUAUUGGGUUUAAAGGGAGCGUAGAUGGAUGUUUAAGUCAGUUGUGAAAGUUUGCGGCUCAACCGUAAAAUUGCAGUUGAUACUGGAUAUCUUGAGUGCAGUUGAGGCAGGCGGAAUUCGUGGUGUAGCGGCGAAAUGCUUAGAUAUCACGAAGAACUCCGAUUGCGAAGGCAGCCUGCUAAGCUGCAACUGACAUUGAGGCUCGAAAGUGUGGGUAUCAAACAGGAUUAGAUACCCUGGUAGUCCACACGGUAAACGAUGAAUACUCGCUGUUUGCGAUAUACUGCAAGCGGCCAAGCGAAAGCGUUAAGUAUUCCACCUGGGGAGUACGCCGGCAACGGUGAAACUCAAAGGAAUUGACGGGGGCCCGCACAAGCGGAGGAACAUGUGGUUUAAUUCGAUGAUACGCGAGGAACCUUACCCGGGCUUAAAUUGCAGAUGAAUUACGGUGAAAGCCGUAAGCCGCAAGGCAUCUGUGAAGGUGCUGCAUGGUUGUCGUCAGCUCGUGCCGUGAGGUGUCGGCUUAAGUGCCAUGACGAGCGCAACCCUUGUUGUCAGUUACUAACAGGUUCCGCUGAGGACUCUGACAAGACUGCCAUCGUAAGAUGUGAGGAAGGUGGGGAUGACGUCAAAUCAGCACGGCCCUUACGUCCGGGGCUACACACGUGUUACAAUGGGGGGUACAGAGGGCCGCUACCACGCGAGUGGAUGCCAAUCCCCAAAACCCCUCUCAGUUCGGACUGGAGUCUGCAAACCCGACUCCACGAAGCUGGAUUCGCUAGUAAUCGCGCAUUCAGCCACGGCGGCGGUAAAUACGUUUCCCGGGCC